This 559-nucleotide ribosomal RNA is filed under the name uncultured bacterium. Its description in RNAcentral is "bacterial SSU rRNA". It matches the Rfam family "Bacterial small subunit ribosomal RNA", at positions 338 to 917 of the family's 1533-position model. The record is from RNAcentral.
CCUACGGGAGGCAGCAGUGGGGAAUCUUGCACAAUGGAGGAAACUCUGAUGCAGCGAUGCCGCGUGAGUGAAGAAGGCCUUUGGGUUGUAAAGCUCUUUUGUAGGGGAAGAUAAUGACUGUACCCUAAGAAUAAGGUCCGGCUAACUUCGUGCCAGCAGCCGCGGUAAUACGAAGGGACCUAGCGUAGUUCGGAAUUACUGGGCGUAAAGCGCGCGUAGGCCGUUGAGUUAGUUAAUUGUGAAAUCCCAAAGCUUAACUUUGGAACUGCAAUUAAAACUACUCGACUAGAGUUUGAUAGAGGAAAGCGGAAUACAUAGUGUAGAGGUGAAAUUCGUAGAUAUUAUGUAGAACACCAGUUGCGAAGGCGGCUUUCUGGACCAGCACUGACGCUGAGGCGCGAAAGUAUGGGUAGCAAAGAGGAUUAGAUACCCUCGUAGUCCAUACCAUAAACGAUGAUUGCUAGAUGUUGGAAAUUUAUUUUACAGUAUCGCAGCUAACGCAUUAAGCAAUCCGCCUGGGGAGUACGACCGCAGGUUAAAACUCAAAUGAAUUGAACGG